UACAGAGGUGGCAAGCGUUGUUCGGAAUUACUGGGCGUAAAGGGCGCGUAGGCGGUCUUGUAAGUCUCGUGUGAAAUCCCUCGGCUUAACUGAGGAACUGCACGGGAUACUGCUUGACUUGAGUUCGGGAGAGGGAAGCGGAAUUCCGGGUGUAGCGGUGAAAUGCGUAGAUAUCAGGAGGAACACCGAUGGCGAAGGCAGGUCACUGGGCCGCAACUGACGCUGAGGAGCGAAAGCAUGGGGAGCGAACAGG
Molecule: ribosomal RNA, 253 nt
Filed under: uncultured bacterium
Lineage: Bacteria
Description: partial 16S ribosomal RNA
Rfam family: Bacterial small subunit ribosomal RNA
Source: RNAcentral